AUGGCUUCAGAAGAGCUACAGAAAGAUCUAGAAGAGGUAAAGGUGUUGCUGGAAAAAGGCUACUAGGAAAAGAGUACGUGAUGCCCUUACAGCUGAAAAAUCCAAGAUUGAGACGGAAAUCAAGAACAAGAUGCAACAGAAAUCACAGAAGAAAGCGGAACUUCUUGAUAAUGAAAAACCAGCUGCUGUGGUUGCUCCCAUUACAACGGGCUAUAAGGUGAAAAGCAGUAAUUAUGGAUGGGAUCAGUCAGAUAAGUGUGUGAAAAUCUACAUUACCUUAAGUGGAGUGCAUCAAGUUCCCACUGAGAAUGUGCAGGUGCAUUUCACAGAGAGGUCAUUUGAUCUUUUGGUAAAGAAUCUAAAUGGGAAGAGUUACUCCAUGAUUGUGAACAAUCUCUUGAAACCCAUCUCUGUGGAAGGCAGUUCAAAAAAAGUCAAGACAGAUACAGUUCUUAUAUUGUGUAGAAAGAAAGUGGAAAACACAAGGUGGGAUUACCUGACCCACGUUGAAAAAGAGUGCAAAGAAAAAGAGAAGCCCUCCUAUGACACUGAAACAGAUCCUAGUGAGGGAUUGAUGAAUGUUCUAAAGAAAAUUUAUGAAGAUGGAGAUGAUGAUAUAAAGAGAACCAUUAAUAAAGACUGGGUGGAAUCAAGAGAGAAGCAAGCCAAAGGAGUUUUGAGACUUUAAGGUCCUUUUGGGAACUGUGAUGUGAUGUGGAAAUACUGAUGUUUCCAGUAAGGGAAUAUUGGUGAGCUGCAUAUAUAAAUUUGACAGAUAGCUAUUUACAUAGCCUUCUAAGUAAAGGCAGUGAAUUCUCCAUUUCCUACUGGAGGAUUUAUUUAAAUAAAAUAUGCUUAUUAAACACUCCUGCAAACAUGG
Rhinopithecus roxellana (golden snub-nosed monkey) is the source of this 880-nucleotide RNA transcript. It is a transcript of the gene named calcyclin-binding protein-like, with no coding region annotated. The transcript has a single exon. NCBI's taxonomy places the organism in Eukaryota, Metazoa, Chordata, Mammalia, Primates, Cercopithecidae. The record is from RefSeq and is a predicted model, not a curated record.